AUCGAUACCGCCCAUCCCCGAGACCACCCGUGACCCUCUCUCUUUCUCUGUCGCCCCCAUCUCGCGUAGCGCAAAGGGUGCCGCCGCUGGCUCAUCCUCCAUCUCCCGAACGCGACGCCGGUAGUGGAGGAGAACGAGGAAAACUAAAGGAUUUGCCUUGGGGGGAGGGAGGGGGGGAAGAAGGAUCUACAGGGGAAGAGGAAGAGAAGGGCUGCAAAAUGACUAGGAGGCCGGAGAUACUCGCACGCCUCUUCUUGACACAGCUCUCCCAAAUCCUAAGAAAUGCCACUACUGCUCCCGCGAAAGUGACUACAACCGCUGCCAUGGGAUUGAGAAAAUCAUUGGAUCUAUCCAAGUUCCUUGCUCCAACACCAAGUACGGAUGCUCCAUUAAGACAAGCUACUACGAGAGGGAAGAUCAUGAGACAACAUGCCCACAUGCUCCAUGCUUCUGUCCUGACACCGGCUGUAGCUUCUCCGGAUCAACUGGAAUGCUCCAAGAACAUUUCAUUGCCGUGCACCAGUGGCCUUCCACCAAGUUCAGGUAUGACUGGUGCUUUUACGCCAACAUCCAGGAAGGGAUUCGUGUCAUCUCCGGCGAAGACAAGCAGUUGUUCCUGCUCAACGUUGUGUCGGAGUCGUUUGGCUGUGUCAUCUCGGUGUUCUGCGUGUGGCCUCAUGACACUGACCCGAAAUUCCGGUGUGCUAUGUCCUUCAACUACUGGAAGAACAGUCUGUACCAUGCCCGGUCUUCAGAAUUCCAAGUGCCAAGCACGACACUCUCUGAUGGGUUACCAAGGGAUUGCUUCCUGUUCAUUAUGCCCAAGUUUUAUCUAGACGAGGACAGCAAAAUCUGUGCCACUGAGGAGGGCUUCAGCAUGAAAAACCUGAGGCCACGGUGCUCGUUUUCACAUGUAAUCCUUUUUUUUUUGCUUCGGGACAAGUGAGCUCUACCGUAAUGAUGGGUUUAGCGGCAAGUAUCCCUAUUAUCCCUAUUAUGUACCGGUGUUAUUUUGGUAGAAUGUUAGGCACUUAGGUAUGGUCGAUUUGGAUAUCAAGUUGUAAAAGCACUCAGGUUUGUUACCAGUACUCUUGGGACAAAUUCGGGAAGAUGGGUUUCGGUGCACAAAGCUCUCUAUUUUAUUGCACUCUUGUUUAUUUGUACUAUUCUCACCAGUCGUUUAUACUUUAUACAUGUCUUCUGUGACGUGUUAGCAGGAACUAAGCAGCCUGUGAGUUUACUCUCCCGGGUCCAGGCCUCCAGGGUCUUCAUCUUCCCAUGGAAAGUGCAACCUGAUGGAAACUCAAUGGAUGAAUUUGUGGUAACCCUCUAAUGGCUCUCUGACUAAUUACUGAUGCAGCUUAGGUUUAUGCAUUCAUGCAUUUGCUCCUGAGUUCUGACCUUGGUUAACAGGUCUCUUUUGUCAACUUUUUCGAAUCCGAACUUUGAAAUCGAGUAGAAAUGCAUUUGCAUUGCUCCUCCACGAUCCUGACCUUGUUUGCAUUCA
Long non-coding RNA from Setaria italica (foxtail millet), 1507 nucleotides. RefSeq lists it as uncharacterized. The transcript has 3 exons. The record is from RefSeq and is a predicted model, not a curated record. Lineage: Eukaryota; Viridiplantae; Streptophyta; Magnoliopsida; Poales; Poaceae.